UGGGGAAUAUUGCACAAUGGGCGAAAGCCUGAUGCAGCGACGCCGCGUGAGGGAUGACGGCCUUCGGGUUGUAAAACCUCUUUCAGCAGGGAAGAAGCGAAAGUGACGGUACCUGCAGAAGAAGCGCCGGCUAACUACGUGCCAGCAGCCGCGGUAAUACGUAGGGCGCAAGCGUUGUCCGGAAUUAUUGGGCGUAAAGAGCUCGUAGGCGGUUAGUCGCGUCUGCUGUGAAAACUCGAGGCUCAACCUCGGGCUUGCAGUGGGUACGGGCUGACUAGAGUGCAGUAGGGGUGACUGGAAUUCCUGGUGUAGCGGUGGAAUGCGCAGAUAUCAGGAGGAACACCGAUGGCGAAGGCAGGUCACUGGGCCGCAACUGACGCUGAGGAGCGAAAGCAUGGGGAGCGAACAGGAUUAGAUACCCUGGUAGUCCAUGCCGUAAACGUUGGGCACUAGGUGUGGGUCCAUUCCACGGAUUCCGUGCCGCAGC
RNAcentral lists this ribosomal RNA (487 nucleotides) under uncultured bacterium. Its description in RNAcentral is "partial 16S ribosomal RNA". It matches the Rfam family "Bacterial small subunit ribosomal RNA", at positions 355 to 852 of the family's 1533-position model. The record is from RNAcentral.